GCUCAGCACACCCCUUGGCUUCUCCAGGCCCAGUCAUCUAAGACCCUUGAGUGUGGAACUAACAGCUUGGAGAACAGCUUUUGGUCCUAAUUCCAAUUUAGCAAAGUCCCCCCUCACACCUCAAGCCAAUCAGGAUGCUUGUUAAGUGACAAUUAAGGGCGCCUGGGUUCCCAACGGACACCAGGCUGACUGCCCUGCAAGUAAAAGCUUAAGAACUAUUUCACGGUUGGAGAAAACAGGGAGGCCGAGGUUGGCCACCUCUGCUGCUGGGUCCUGGAGAGUCUCAGGAUUCUGUCUGGAGAAGUGGCUGCACAACGAAGAACUUGAUCCAGACCAGCCUUGGCUGCCUUGGUCCACUCGAAAACCACAAGCAAGUCAGUGGCCCUGUCCAGCAGGUGCAGGGCCCUGGGCCCGGGCGCUGCCAUGAUUGGGUGUGUGAACAGGAAGCUGGAUUAGAAGCAGGGGAGUGGGGACUUGAACCUGCAGUCUGAUAUGGGAUAUGAGUGUUACAAAGAGUGGACUGCCGUGCUACGGUGCCAACUUCUGUAGAUUAUUUACAUAAAUAGCACCACGCAAUAUGUGCCUAUUUGUGACUGGCUUAGCCUAUGUGCUUUUGGUUUAUCUAUUUACAGCGUAUGUUAGAAUUUCAUUCCUUUCCAGGCUGAAAAGCACUCCACGUUGUGGAGAUGUCACAGUCUGGCCGUUGAUUCAUCCCUCAGCGGACACUGGGGCUGCCUCCACCUGGGCUGCCCUGAAUUCUGAGCAUAUGAGUGUCGGGGUGCAGAGUUAGUGUUCCUGCUUUCAGUUCUUUGGGCUGUGUACCCAGAAGGCCUUGCUCCAUUGUCUCUCAGCUUUCAGUAUUGCAGCUGGAAAGUCCCCAGUCAUUCUGGACUUGACCUACUUUUUCUUCUCUAGAAAUUUCUAGAGCCACCUCCUCAGUGAACUGAUAUUUCUUCAGGAUUCUAACUUUGGGCUCAUACUGGGAACCCAGGGAGGCUGAGGCCAAGGGGCUCCACCUGUGGCCUUGCUGGCAGGGCUCCCAGGGCUGUAUGUCUGCCCCAGCCUCCCCCACAGCAGUACGCAUGGGAAUUUCUCCUCGCUCCCUCAGUUGGUGGCAACCUCCUCCCUGUGUUGUGCUUUUCUGGGGAC
Ochotona princeps (American pika) is the source of this 1149-nucleotide long non-coding RNA. RefSeq lists it as uncharacterized. NCBI's taxonomy places the organism in Eukaryota, Metazoa, Chordata, Mammalia, Lagomorpha, Ochotonidae. The transcript is spliced from 3 exons. The record is from RefSeq and is a predicted model, not a curated record.